RNAcentral lists this ribosomal RNA (501 nucleotides) under uncultured bacterium. RNAcentral's name for it is "partial 16S ribosomal RNA". It matches the Rfam family "Bacterial small subunit ribosomal RNA", at positions 28 to 523 of the family's 1533-position model. The record is from RNAcentral.
GACGAACGCUGGCGGCGUGCUUAACACACGCAAGUCGAACGGCAGCACGGGUGCUUGCACCUGGUGGCGAGUGGCGAACGGGUGAGUAAUACAUCGGAACGUACCUUAUCGUGGGGGAUAACGCAGAGAAAGCUGUGCUAAUACCGCAUACGCCCUGAGGGGGAAAGCGGGGGAUCGAAAGACCUCGCGCGAUUAGAGCGGCCGAUGCCUGAUUAGCUUGUUGGUGGGGUAAAAGCCCACCAAGGCGACGAGCAGUAGCUGGUCUGAGAGGACGAUCAGCCACACUGGGACUGAGACACGGCCCAGACUCCUACGGGAGGCAGCAGUGGGGAAUUUUGGACAAUGGGGGCAACCCUGAUCCAGCAAUGCCGCGUGAGUGAAGAAGGCCUUCGGGUUGUAAAGCUCUUUUGUCAGGGAAGAAACACCGGCUCUAACACAGUCCGGGAAUGACGGUACCUGAAGAAUAAGCACCGGCUAACUACGUGCCAGCCGCCGCCGUAA